RNAcentral lists this unclassified non-coding RNA (421 nucleotides) under Hevea brasiliensis (rubber tree). The record is from RNAcentral. Lineage: Eukaryota; Viridiplantae; Streptophyta; Magnoliopsida; Malpighiales; Euphorbiaceae.
UACAAGUGGGCUGGGAAUUAGGAUAUGGGAAAGAAGGGAGCUUUUCUUUCCCAAAUGUUCCACCAAUGGCAGAUAUAAUAUAUGAAGUUGAGCUUAUUGGUUUUGAUGAAACCAAAGAAGGGAAAGCUCGUGGUGACAUGACUGCGGAAGAGAGGAUUGGAGCAGCAGAUCGAAGAAAAAUGGAUGGAAAUGCUUUAUUUAAAGAGGAGAAACUUGAGGAGGCCAUGCAACAAUAUGAAAUGGCCAUUGCUUAUUUGGGUGAUGACUUCAUGUUCCAAUUGUUUGGCAAAUAUCGGGACAUGGCAUUGACAGUUAAGAAUCCUUGCCACCUUAACAUGGCAGCAUGUCUGAUAAAGCUUAAACGCUAUGAAGAAGCCAUUGGGCAAUGCAGUAUUGUAUUAGGAGAGGAUGAAAACAAUGU